This 4685-nucleotide long non-coding RNA is filed under the name Prunus persica (peach). Its description in RNAcentral is "long non-coding RNA (PPER_LNC006598)". The record is from RNAcentral. Lineage: Eukaryota; Viridiplantae; Streptophyta; Magnoliopsida; Rosales; Rosaceae.
CUGAAUACAUAAUGUCCCAACAGUUGACAGAAAAAUCUGAUGUUUACUCAUUCGGCGUGGUUCUCCUUGAGGUGUUAUGUGCAAGACCUGCUAUUGAUAGAAUGCUCCCAAGAGACCAAAUGAAUUUAGCUGAAUGGGGAAUGCUUUGCAAGAAGAAAGGGUUGCUUGAACAGAUUGUUGACUCUUCAAUCAAGAAUCAGAUUGAUCCUAGCUCAUUAAGAAAAUUUAGUGAGACAGCAGAGAAAUGCUUGCAAGAAGAUGCUAAUGAUAGGCCUACAAUGGGUGAUGUGCUGUGGGACUUGGAGUAUGCAUUCCAGCUCCAGCAAACAGUAAAGCAUAGGGAACCCCAUGAAGAUAGCACAGCCAAUGCUUCAUCAGCAUUUGUAUUGCCAAAUAUUCCGUGUUUUCCUUCAGUUAGCUCCACCAUUAACACAGAUGAUCUGGCCCUUCCCAGAGACGAUGAAUUAGAUACAACAGAAGUUGAAGUUUUCUCCCAGUUGAGAGUUGGUGAUGCCAGAUAAAUUUGUUUAGUUUGUAAGGUAUAUUAGUUAACCUUGUUUAAGUUUCUUUAGGCUGUAAAAGCUAAGUUAGGUAUGCCUUGUUAAUUUUAGUCCUAUCUUUGAUUAUUGUACUACAACUGCUUUCCCAUCUUUAAGAUGUGGUAAUAAUAUUAACUGUUCAUAAACAGAAGCAGCUAACAAAUUCUAUGUAUAUAAAGAUUCUCUCUUAUUAAUUAGAAAAGAGAAGGAAAAUCAAAGGUAGAAAUUUAAAUAAAUAAAAAGUUAAAAAGCCCAAUUGUGAAAAAAUUGAAGUUUUCCCAAUAUCUUAAUUCUUUGACAUUAUGAAAAAACUAACCGGCAAAAACAAAAUAAAAAAAUAAAGAUAGCUGGAAAACUUAAAGAGUCUGAUGUUGUGCGGAAAUUCCCUUUGAUCUUGUUGUUGAUAGACUUUAGACAAACACACUAUGGAUGUAUCAAACACUCACACACUCGAAAAUAACCAAACACAAAGAACACGAGAAUUUAUAGAGAUUUGGCAAUGCCUACGUCCUCUUUGGUGAUCACCCUGAGAAAUUUCAUUAAUGAAGAUAUGUUACAACUUUGGUCAACAUGUGCCUUUUUUCAGAUUCUCUUUUCACGUGAAAAAUUAUGUUAUAUGAUAGUCUUAAAAGAAUUCGAAUCUGCUCUCUUAUAGCACUUCCAACGCCAGGGCUUUGCCCUAGCAACAGGCCACCCCAAGCCCAGUUUCAUACUCCAGCGCAGGAAAUCCAGUCCGAGCAAGGCAUGGGACCCACCAACCUGGGCAAGCCCACAGGCAGAAAUUGACUGGGCUGUUGCCCGCGGGCUGCUGACUUCAGCAUGACGUCAACAACUGAUUUUCAAAUAUUUUUAACAUUAAAAAAAUUAAAAAUCAACUGCUAACGUCAACGCUGGCCCACCAGCCCACAUUGCCCAAUGGUUACAAGCAACGUGGCUUCUGCUGGAGCCUCCAAUAAAAAAAUCUUGCCCAAUCCAACGGUUGUCCAAUUUUUGGCUAAAACAAAUUGAAAAAAAUAUCAAAAAAAUUUUAAAAAAAUUUCUGGAAAUUUUUUCUAUACAUACCUACCAAUAUUAUUCACUUUCCACACCAAAUUUAAUUUCAAAAUUUUAUCCGAAAAUGUUAUCUUGAUUUUUAAGUGAGAAUUUUACAAUAAAUAUUAACAUUUGGCAAUCGAAAAUCUUAUCCAAAAAGCUUACCAAAAUUAACCGUUUAAGUAUAAAAAAUAAAAAAAUAAAUUUAAGUGAAUAGUAAUUGUCUUAGCCUUAGCAUUUUGGGGUGGAACCACAAAUGACAAGGCUGCCACUAUUCACGUGAUUGAGUAUUAUUGUUUAUCAAAAUUAUCAGGAACUUUCAAAACUAGAUACGGGUUUUGGUAUAUUAAGAAUUCUUAGCCUUCCCUUUGAAUACAUGAAUCAGAUGAAAUUGUGAGAAAUAAGAAAUUACCACAGAAAAAAGACAGAUAACCGAUAAGGAACAAAAGAAAAAUGAAACACAUAUGCAGUGUUCUUUGUAUCAUUGUGGACCAUUGAUGUUUCUGCUGUUCUCAUCCAAACACAAAAAGACAGUAAAGACGAGUCAUCAAACUUGUCAUUGGUGGUGGAUGAUAUUUCAGUCAAUUAUAUGGCUCUCUUUGACAAGAAAGAACUGAAACCCCCAAAAUGUCCUCUUUUGUAUUUGCAUAGUUUAUAAAAUAUAAGGGAGAAUUAAAUAAAUCUACCAUACUUUUUCUUGGAAUUUUCUAACUGCAGACUUGCACGGUUGGUGCUUCAACUUCAAAGUCCACGACUUUCCUAUUCCAAGUCUUUGUUUUCCAUAAUUUCCAUUGUCACUCAGCUCAGAUGAGCUUUCCUUCGGCUACCAAUUAGCAAAAUCCAGCAACUCCAUUAAUUCUCAUGGAAAGCCUUCAUAACCAUAAAAUCCAUAUCCCUCUAUUUUCUCUGCUUUUUUUUCUUUUCCACUUCUCAUCCCUUCACUUUCUCUCUUUAGCCUAUGAGCAACCUGAUAAGUAUUUCGUCAAUUGUGGGUCUAAAGAUGAUGCAAACCUCAAUGGCCGGGUGUUCACUGCAGACUCGAGUUCUGUUUCCUUGUGCUCAGACUCAGAGAAAAGCAGGGCCAUUGAAAGCACCAACCAGUCGCGAAAUCUGUACCAAACAGCAAGAAUUUUCUACAACCAAUCCCACUAUGAGUUCACGAUCGCUGAAAACGGUACUUAUAUUGUCCGUCUGCAUUUCUUGACUUUCUCCUCCUCAGUUAAUCUUUCAUCAGCUCUUUUUGAUGUUCUGGCUUUUCCUAAUGUUUCAAAUUCUGGGUUCAAACUGUUGAGCAAUUUCACUGCUAAGAAUAGUAGCAACUCUCCUUUGAUAAAGGAGUUCUUCCUUGGGAUUGAUCCUGGCACAUUUAAAAUAUAUUUUGUUCCUCAAGCAUCAUCUUUUGCAUUUGUGAAUGCCAUUGAAGUCUUCCUUGCUCCUGCAAGUUUCAGCCCUGAGAAUUACAACAGUAGUCUUCCCUUAGUUCUGCAUACAAUUUACAGGUUGAAUGUUGGAGGCCAGAAAUUCACACCAGAUAAUGACAAAAUAUGGAGAAACUGGGAUCCUGAUCAUAUUUAUCUGUCUAAUUCAAACUCUGCAGAGGAUUUCCGACCCUCCUCCUCAUCGACGCUUUUUAGACAGUACUCAGUAGAAUCUCAUGGUUUCGUUGCUGCUGAUAGUGAUUUUAUUGCUCCAGAUUUAGUUUACCUGAGUGCCAAAGUGAUGACCAGUAGUACAAAGGGGCGAUCCAAUCCCUUCAACAUAACCUGGUCUUUUAAUGUGAGUGCGGAUGCUAGACACCUCGUCCGGGUUCAUUUCUGUGACAUUAUCGGUCCGCCUGGUAAUUUAGUAUUUAACUUGUAUUCAAAUGGAAACUUCAUUAAGAAGGUUGGUGGACCCGCUUUCCGUUUUAAUAGCCUGUACUCGCCUUUCUACUAUGAUUUUGUAUUGAGUUCUAAUGGAUCUGAAUUCAUUAACAUCAGCAUAGGCCCUAGCAUAGACACAACAACUAACAAUUCCUUUCUAAAUGGACUGGAAAUGUUGGAGAUAAUAGAGGGACCAGCUCUAAGUAACCCUCCAGCUUCAGUUUGUAAUAUGAAAGGGCGCAACAAGAUAAAGGUGGGUCUUGUGGUUGGUUCAGUUAUUGGAGGCCUGUCACUUAUCUGCAUUCUGAUUGUUGGAAUUUUGUUCGGUUUGAAAUACAGAAAGGCAAAGCGUGUUGAAACUUCGGAAUGGUCACCAAUGCCUGCAGUUGGUGACCAUUCCUGGUUGACUGAUGGAAACAUUACUGGUUCCCCUAUGAAUUAUCUAAAUCUCGGGUUGAAGAUAUCUUUUGCUGAACUUCAGCAAGCAACAAACAACUUUGACACAAAAUUGUUGAUAGGUGAGGGUGGCUUUGGGAAUGUCUACAGAGGAACUCUGUUGAAUGGCAGAAAUGUAGCUGUUAAGCGAGGAAAACGAGAUGAGAAAGGGUCAGGCCAAGGCCUUCCAGAAUUUCAAACAGAGAUCAUGGUUUUGUCCAAGAUUCGCCACCGUCAUCUUGUUUCCUUAAUUGGGUACUGUGAGGAAAGGUCUGAGAUGAUACUGGUCUACGAAUUUAUGGAAAAAGGGAGCUUGAGAGAUCAUUUAUAUGAUUCAAACUUGCCUCGUUUGUCAUGGAAGCAAAGGCUUGAAAUUUGCAUUGGUGCAGCAAGGGGUCUUCAUUACCUCCACAAAGGUGCAGCUGGGGGAAUCAUUCACCGUGAUGUUAAGUCCACCAACAUCUUGUUGGAUGAAAACCAUGUUGCAAAAGUUGCUGACUUUGGCCUUUCAAGAUCUGGUCCUCUUGAUGAAACACAUGUCAGCACAAAUGUUAAAGGCACUUUUGGUUACCUUGAUCCUGAAUACAUAAUGUCCCAACAGUUGACAGAAAAAUCUGAUGUUUACUCAUUCGGCGUGGUUCUCCUUGAGGUGUUAUGUGCAAGACCUGCUAUUGAUAGAAUGCUCCCAAGAGACCAAAUGAAUUUAGCUGAAUGGGGAAUGCUUUGCAAGAAGAAAGGGUUGCUUGAACAGAUUGUUGACUCUUCAAUCAAGAAUCAGAUUGAUCCUAGCUCAUUAAGAAAAUUUAGUGAGACAGCA